AAGUCGUAACAAGGUUGGACAGCAAUACUUAAUGAUUCCUUUCUCACAAAAGGUUCAUUUGCUGAAGCCUGAGCAGCUAUCUUUGUAACAAGAGAUAGUGCCGAGAGCGACUUCUGAUAAAUAAAUACUCGAGAUUAAAUGCUAGUCGAAGUUCUCUCUUUUCAUUGAGGAGAGAAUGUAUGCAACACUGCUUAAUUGCUGGAAGUUCCUAAAGCUUUAUCGUACCAAGUUGAGAAGGGCAACCUUUAUUCAAUGGCUCUACUUUCUUCGGAUGAAAUACUCUGAGGAAGUCGAGGGAUGGUUA
This 304-nucleotide unclassified non-coding RNA is filed under the name fungal sp. Its description in RNAcentral is "partial internal transcribed spacer region". Lineage: Eukaryota; Fungi. The record is from RNAcentral.